Molecule: small nucleolar RNA, 240 nt
Filed under: Plasmodium gonderi
Lineage: Eukaryota; Apicomplexa; Aconoidasida; Haemosporida; Plasmodiidae
Description: ACEA small nucleolar RNA U3
Rfam family: ACEA small nucleolar RNA U3
About the family: Small nucleolar RNAs (snoRNAs) are involved in the processing and modification of rRNA in the nucleolus. There are two main classes of snoRNAs: the box C/D class, and the box H/ACA class.
Source: Rfam by way of RNAcentral
UCGACGAAUACUUAGUCAAGAUCAUUGCUAUAGUAUUUGUGAUGUUUUAUUGUUAUAAAUAAACAGAUUAUCAAAAGUGAUGAUGAAAAGGCGCGGCUCAAAAAAUGAAAAUAUUUCGAUUUCUUUCAAGAUCUAACGAAAUUGUUAGGAAUCCGAAAAAUAGAUGAUAAAUUUUGGUGAAUAAUAGAUUCUUCUUUUAUUCUCUGAAAAAUUCAAGAGCUUGUCGCCAGCUGAACUUAA